Nothobranchius furzeri (turquoise killifish) is the source of this 93-nucleotide small nucleolar RNA. The record is from Ensembl. Lineage: Eukaryota; Metazoa; Chordata; Actinopteri; Cyprinodontiformes; Nothobranchiidae.
CUGCAAUGAUGAUUUUAAUACAACUGACCUGGAAUUGCUGAUCUCUGGGUCAGCUCUGUCCAGGAAAUGACCGUUGUUUUUGUCUCUGAGCAG